UACGGAGGAUGCGAGCGUUAUCCGGAUUUAUUGGGUUUAAAGGGUGCGCAGGCGGCACGGCAAGCCGGCGGUCAAAUCGUGGGGCUCAACCCCGCCCAGCCGUCGGAACUGCCGGGCUAGAGUGGGCGAGAAGUGCGCGGAAUGCGUGGUGUAGCGGUGAAAUGCAUAGAUAUCACGCAGAACUCCGAUUGCGAAGGCAGCGCACCGGCGCCCUACUGACGCUCAGGCACGAAAGCGUGGGUAUCGAACAGG
This 252-nucleotide ribosomal RNA is filed under the name uncultured bacterium. RNAcentral describes it as "partial 16S ribosomal RNA". It matches the Rfam family "Bacterial small subunit ribosomal RNA", at positions 524 to 776 of the family's 1533-position model. The record is from RNAcentral.